RNAcentral lists this long non-coding RNA (342 nucleotides) under Cyanistes caeruleus (blue tit). RNAcentral describes it as "lncRNA (ENSCCEG00000014116.1)". The record is from RNAcentral. Lineage: Eukaryota; Metazoa; Chordata; Aves; Passeriformes; Paridae.
AUGUGUUCUUUUACUCUUAUAAAACAAGUAAACACUAUGAGUUACUGUUUAUUAUUGAGAUCGCCUGCAGAAGAAAGACUACUCACAAAACAGAGAAAUAAGGACUAUACUGUCAACACUAAAGUUGGUCAGAAGUGGAUAACUUUAAAAGGAGAAGGUCCUGAUUGGCACACAAUGUUUCUGAUGAAAGAAGCAUCCACUGACACUCAUACGGUAAAUCAGAGGUCUCUGUUUUCCUUUCUCUUAAACAUCAGGAUAAACACACACCCAAGAAAAGUAAAAGGCUGGUAAUUCAAGUACUGAAUUAAUAAAAGUGCUUUCUUGUUGUUUGUUUUUUAAAAU